This 492-nucleotide ribosomal RNA is filed under the name uncultured bacterium. Its description in RNAcentral is "partial 16S ribosomal RNA". It matches the Rfam family "Bacterial small subunit ribosomal RNA", at positions 29 to 507 of the family's 1533-position model. The record is from RNAcentral.
AGUGAACGCUGGCGGUAGGCCUAACACAUGCAAGUCGAACGGCAGCACAGUAAGAGCUUGCUCUUACGGGUGGCGAGUGGCGGACGGGUGAGGAAUACAUCGGAAUCUACUUUUUCGUGGGGGAUAACGUAGGGAAACUUACGCUAAUACCGCAUACGACCUACGGGUGAAAGUAGGGGAUCUUCGGACCUUGCGCGAUUGAAUGAGCCGAUGUCGGAUUAGCUAGUUGGUGGGGUAAAGGCCCACCAAGGCGACGAUCCGUAGCUGGUCUGAGAGGAUGAUCAGCCACACUGGAACUGAGACACGGUCCAGACUCCUACGGGAGGCAGCAGUGGGGAAUAUUGGACAAUGGGCGCAAGCCUGAUCCAGCCAUACCGCGUGGGUGAAGAAGGCCUUCGGGUUGUAAAGCCCUUUUGUUGGGAAAGAAAAGCAGCAGGUUAAUACCCCGCUGUUCUGACGGUACCCAAAGAAUAAGCACCGGCUAACUUCGUG